This 190-nucleotide ribosomal RNA is filed under the name uncultured bacterium. RNAcentral describes it as "partial 16S ribosomal RNA". It matches the Rfam family "Bacterial small subunit ribosomal RNA", at positions 337 to 524 of the family's 1533-position model. The record is from RNAcentral.
UCCUACGGGAGGCAGCAGUAAGGAAUAUUGGUCAAUGGACGCAAGUCUGAACCAGCCAUGCCGCGUGUUGGAUGACGGCCCUCUGGGUUGUAAACUUCAUUUAUCUGGGACGAAAAAAGAUCAUUCCUGAUCACAAGACGGUACCAGAGGAAUAAGCACCGGCUAACUCCGUGCCAGCAGCCGCGGUAAU